CUGGGAUAACUCCGGGAAACCGGAGCUAAUACCGGAUAGUUCCUUGAACCGCAUGGUUCAAGGAUGAAAGACGGUUUCGGCUGUCACUUACAGAUGGACCCGCGGCGCAUUAGCUAGUUGGUGGGGUAAUGGCUCACCAAGGCGACGAUGCGUAGCCGACCUGAGAGGGUGAUCGGCCACACUGGGACUGAGACACGGCCCAGACUCCUACGGGAGGCAGCAGUAGGGAAUCUUCCGCAAUGGACGAAAGUCUGACGGAGCAACGCCGCGUGAGUGAUGAAGGUUUUCGGAUCGUAAAGCUCUGUUGUUAGGGAAGAACAAGUGCGAGAGUAACUGCUCGCACCUUGACGGUACCUAACCAGAAAGCCACGGCUAACUACGUGCCAGCAGCCGCGGUAAUACGUAGGUGGCAAGCGUUGUCCGGAAUUAUUGGGCGUAAAGGGCUCGCAGGCGGUUUCUUAAGUCUGAUGUGAAAGCCCCCGGCUCAACCGGGGAGGGUC
This 500-nucleotide ribosomal RNA is filed under the name Bacillus pumilus. RNAcentral describes it as "bacterial SSU rRNA". It matches the Rfam family "Bacterial small subunit ribosomal RNA", at positions 138 to 624 of the family's 1533-position model. The record is from RNAcentral. Lineage: Bacteria; Bacillati; Bacillota; Bacilli; Caryophanales; Bacillaceae.